CCUACGGUAAGCAGCAGUGGGGAAUAUUGGACAAUGGGCGAAAGCCUGAUCCAGCCAUGCCGCGUGUGUGAAGAAGGCCUUCGGGUUGUAAAGCACUUUCAGUGGGGAAGAAAGCCUUGGGGCUAAUACCCUCGAGGAAGGACAUCACCCACAGAAGAAGCACCGGCUAACUCCGUGCCAGCAGCCGCGGUAAUACGGAGGGUGCGAGCGUUAAUCGGAAUUACUGGGCGUAAAGCGCGCGUAGGCGGUCUGAUAAGCCGGUUGUGAAAGCCCCGGGCUCAACCUGGGAACGGCAUCCGGAACUGUCAGGCUAGAGUGCAGGAGAGGAAGGUAGAAUUCCCGGUGUAGCGGUGAAAUGCGUAGAGAUCGGGAGGAAUACCAGUGGCGAAGGCGGCCUUCUGGACUGACACUGACGCUGAGGUGCGAAAGCGUGGGUAGCAAACAGGAUUAGAUACCCUAGUAGUC
Molecule: ribosomal RNA, 465 nt
Filed under: Vreelandella stevensii
Lineage: Bacteria; Pseudomonadati; Pseudomonadota; Gammaproteobacteria; Oceanospirillales; Halomonadaceae
Description: partial 16S ribosomal RNA
Rfam family: Bacterial small subunit ribosomal RNA
Source: RNAcentral